UACGUAGGGUGCAAGCGUUGUCCGGAAUUAUUGGGCGUAAAGAGCUCGUAGGCGGUCUGUCGCGUCUGCUGUGAAAACUCAGGGCUUAACCCUGAGCUUGCAGUGGGUACGGGCAGACUAGAGUGCGGUAGGGGAGACUGGAAUUCCUGGUGUAGCGGUGAAAUGCGUAGAUAUCGAGAGGAACACCUGCGGCGAAGGCGGGUAGCUGGGCCGACACUGACGCUGAGGCGCGAAAGCCAGGGGAGCGAACGGG
This 253-nucleotide ribosomal RNA is filed under the name uncultured bacterium. RNAcentral describes it as "partial 16S ribosomal RNA". It matches the Rfam family "Bacterial small subunit ribosomal RNA", at positions 524 to 776 of the family's 1533-position model. The record is from RNAcentral.